UACAGAGGGGGCAAGCGUUAUUCGGAAUUAUUGGGCGUAAAGGGCGCGUAGGCGGCUUGGCAAGUGGGAUGUGAAAUCCCGGGGCUCAACCUCGGAACUGCCUUUGAUACUGCAAAUCUCGAGUCCGGAAGAGGUGAGUGGAAUUCCUAGUGUAGAGGUGAAAUUCGUAGAUAUUAGGAAGAACACCAGUGGCGAAGGCGGCUCACUGGUCCGGUACUGACGCUGAGGUGCGAAAGCGUGGGGAGCAAACAGG
RNAcentral lists this ribosomal RNA (253 nucleotides) under uncultured bacterium. RNAcentral describes it as "partial 16S ribosomal RNA". It matches the Rfam family "Bacterial small subunit ribosomal RNA", at positions 524 to 776 of the family's 1533-position model. The record is from RNAcentral.